UUUUGGAGAGCGUUAUCUGUCUUCUGCACUCUUUAAUUCCGUUAGGCAUGAGGCGGAAAACUUGAGUAUUUGCUGAAAGUGUUGCUGAAUCGGCCUUUUCUUAUAUCACUGUUAUUCUCUCCUUUGUAUUCAAUUUCGAACAAUCUGCUUUCGCAGUUUAGAUUAAUUUAAUUAAAAUAUCGUUCAAAUAAAGAAAUAGUCCUGCAAUUACAAAAAAAUAACAAUUAUUCAAUAUUACCACCGACUGGGAAAACUCAUAGAUUAAUAUCAAAACAUAAGAAAGCCAUUGGGUACAUUUAUGAUUCUAUAGAAAAAAUUAUCAGUAAUCUUAACAUAUUUACAUAGAAGGAAACAUAAGAGCGAUUGAUUUUGUCGAUCUACGUUUGAUUGGUACGGUCACUAUUGAAUUUGGCUUAGCUGACUCUAUCUACGAGCUUAAGCAGUGGACUUCUUGGAGAUUUAUUAGUCUAAGCAGGAAACAAUAUUUUAAAGGUCAUCAUCAAUAAUCGUAAUACAUUUACAAAGAAAGAUGCGAGCGGUUGAUUUUGUUGAUUUACGUUUAAUUGGUACGGUUACUAUUGAAUUUGGCUUUAGCUAACUCUAUCUACGAGCUUAGGCGGAGUCAGCUGGACCAGCAAACAUAUUUGUUUGUGGGUGAUUUAUGCUUUGAUUACUAGUCUAGUAACUACCUCCUCCCCGAUACAAUUUGGAGGGCUUUAAAAAAAUUUAGGAGAACGAAUUGGACUUGUAGUAGUUUAGGAGAACGAAUUGGACUCGUAGUUAGUUCACAAGGCUCUGUAAUCGUUUGGACUUUAUGUUUAGAUUGAUUCGUAAGAGUUGAACUUUAGAUUGGGCAGGGGCUGCGCGAACGCAAGCCCCCACGGCAACAAAUUAUGACAUUGACUCUCCUACAUUGAGGAGAUCAUAGGCAGGCACCCCUUCAAAGUGCAAUGAAGGUCACCAGCCCAGGCCAUAAGCCUUCUUGAUCGCUCAUAGACCCUGUCCAGGUAAGUGCUUUACUCGGUAUUCGUCCUUUAUUUUUAUACCCAUACCGCCUGAUUUCUUUGACCUUAAUUGGUCGAUGUGGGACAUGCUUACUGAUGGCAGUAAUCCAAAAAAGUAGUUCGAAGGUUUUUUUAAGGUAUUUUGGAAAGUUAAUGGAUUGUUAGACGAAUUAUUAAGUGGGGGCAGUGGCAAAGCAACGAAAGCCAAGGGAGGAACCGCCCGUAUGGUUCGUCUGAGCUUGCCGAAAUUUUUAGUUAUGCAGCCUGCGCUGAGCUUGCCGGAAAGUUGGCUGGGGAGAGCCUCGGUUGACUUCAUGGUUGUGUGGGAGGGCCUCGAUUUUACUUCAACGUUGUCGUUUCUUUUUAAUAUAAAAUGAGGACAAUUGAUGACAAAUUAUGAUUAUUUUAAUAAAAUAUUGAUAUCCCUUUCCUUAUCUUUUAAGGAAUUGGAUCUCCUCCUGAGCAAAUGAUAAGGAUCCUCAUGACCACACAAUAUGGACCGUUAGAUUUUGAUAUUACGGCAACAAUUAUUAAAACUUUUAGAAGAACUCUCAUGUUUGUAACCGUUGGAUCAAGAUCCAAAAGUCCGUGUUGUGUGGUUAUGAGGACCCACCAUUUGCUCAAGAGGGGAUCCAAUUCCAUCUUUUAAAACCCCACCUCACCUGUCCCACCUAUACAACAACCAAAAACAUCUAUUUCCAUAUAUUUUGGCAUUUUGCAAUAUAUAUUUAUGUAAUCAUUAUACUAAAAGAACCAAAGCAUCUAUUAGACCAUUUCCAUCUAUUUCCGUAUAUUUUGACAUUUUGCAAUAUAUAUUUAUAUAACAUUAUUGUACAUUAAUGCAUAUUUUUGUUAACGUAUCCAUGCCGUCUUAUAUCCUAAUUUUUAGAAAAUAGUUGUAUCCCCGUAUUUGUGUUCCUAUCCAUGCUACAUAGUUACUAUCUGUAAGAAUUUGGUUGUUUAUAUUUUUUCGGAAUCUUUUAUCCUUUUAAAUUUCGCCUCCCAGAUGAUUUCUAGCUUCACCACUAAGGGGGGUGAUUGGAAAUUUAGGAAUGUACUUAUUUAUGAAAUAUAGUUUAACAUAGUAGUCGGUUUUUAUGUAUGCAAUUAGGAUUAAAGAAAUGUGGAAGGGUCUACCUCUAGACUAUAGUGGUUGUUAAUUAUUUGAAACCAAAAGUGUAUUCUAUUGUUUGGAAAUGAAAUUUGAAUAUUUUAUCGGCCACCUCAGUUUUAUGUCAAGAGUUUUGACAUCAUUGGGAGAACAUAGUGUUGGUUCAUUUAAUUUUCCCAACACAUAGUUUUUAAUGGCAUUUGAUAUAUGUUUAUGCCGAUUAUCGGAUUACGUGUAGUUGAUUAAGUUUAUUAAAUUUUAGUAUAACCUUGCUAAACCCUAAUCAUAAAUGCACUUUGGAUGUAAGAGCAAUGACGUGAUACUUUCUAAUAGUCUGUUCACUAAUUCGUAAUCAACAUGAGAAGAAUUGAACUGAAAAUGAGUAGAUUGGUAUUGAUUCAGAAUCAAAUUCAUAUUGAAAUUGUUUGCUAUUUUUGUAACCACAACUAGAACGGGCGGAAACACGAAACGAUGAAAACGAAAAACACUCGCACGACGAUGAGAAAGCUCUCACAGGAGGAUAAAAAGCCUCGAGAAUUAGAAAUCUACCCAUCUAAUUUGACGGUAUCGAAUUCGACCAUGUCUUCUUUGUCAGUAGUGUAUUACACUCUGCAGUUGGCAAGCAUUAGUGUUUUUCUUAGCACGUGCUCCCCUGGACCACACACUCUAAUUUGGGCUUAUUACAUAGGUUUUUUCUUAUCCUAGUAAACAUGACAAGUUUCUGUCCCUUCAAGCUGCCCUGGUAACCAUUUUUUCUUCCACUUUCUUCCUUUCUCUCCGUACUCUGUUCAAAUUUCCCAUUGUUUCACACUCUUGGGUCAAAUUAUCCAGCGAAUAAGAGAUUUGUAGUUUAAUUGAUUAACACGCGUUACACACGCACUUCCUCUCAAGUUGACUUGGUGAUUUUUGCCUUUUUACUUCUUCAGCUUCCCUCCAUUUUUCGCUCUCGUUUCACAUUAGAGACCAGCUUAAAAAAUACCAAAUAAAUAAAAGACUUAUAACUCAAACAGUUAACAAUAAUCAAUUAUGCACUUGAAGUCCGACGUUCAAUUUUCGCUAAAUGAAAAUUCUCUGUGACUUUCACUUUCAAGAUUAAAAUAUACCUACAGAGGAAGAAAUGUUCCAUAAAAGAAACAGAACAAGGACAACGGGACAAGACAACCUUUAAGUUUGACUGAAACUUAACAAACAAACGAAUAAAUAAAUAAGUAAAUAAAUAAACGCAGAAGUGCCCUUAUGGAAGUGCAAGGAGCCAUUUUCCAGAAAAUUACAAUACAAUUUUCUUUAUUUCUUCCAUACUCUGCCUGCAAAAGAUAAGGUUGGUCUUUAUUUCUUUAUUAAUAUUUAAUGACAUAAUUGAAUUGUUCAUUGCUUAUUAGCAUUUGGGUGCAAAAUAUAUUGCUUGAAAUCUUGAAAAUCUGCUGCUAAAUAUUGGACAAAUUCCAGAAUUAUCAUUCUGUUCUUUUUGCUCUGUUUAUGGUAAUUAACUGAUUUUUUUUUCAUAAUUUUUUUUAAUAAUUAUUGGUUCUUCAAAAUUUAGGUUGGGAGCUUUUGGUGGUCUUCUGUGUAAACAUUCUUGUUAAAUACUUGAUAUUUUUGUUUGUUCUCUAUUUAUUUUCUGCAUAUUUUGGGGUCUUCUGGGUUUGAUUCUGUUGACUAUUUCUGGGCUUUUGCAAUAUUUUGCUCCUAUAUUUUUCAAGUGAUUUUCUAAGAGGAUGAAACGAUUAAGCGUUUCGGGUUUUCUGGUUGCUUCUGUUUUGUUGAACGUUUGAAUCUGUUUUCCCUUCUUUCACAGCUUGCUGCAACAUAAGAUAAAUAUGGAAGUCAAAUUUGCAAUCAAGAACGAUGUCACCGAAGUAAGAUUUCUCUUCACGAAAGUCAAGCAUUCAAUUUUUAUUUUUCUUUGUUUUACCGUAUAUUUUAACGAAAAAUCAUAUUUUUACGCUAAAAAGUUAAUAUGAUAUUAUUCACUUUACCUUUUAUUUUGUCAUUUUUGUUAAAACUCAAAGUUUUCAAGUCAUUUUCAUUAGUUUUCUUUGUUUUUAUAUGUUGAUUUGGCUUAAGAUGUGCUCUCGUUGUACUCUUGGUUCUUGCAGCUGAUUGGAAAUACCCCGUUGGUAUAUCUCAACAAUGUCGUGGAUGGUUGCGUAGCACGAAUUGCUGCCAAGCUAGAGUCAAUGGAGCCCUGCUCAAGUGUAAAAGACAGGCAUAUUCUUUGCACUUUUUCCUUGGGAAUAUUGGUUUUCGUUUUCCUAGUAUGACAGCAAAUCAAAACUCAAGAUUACGAACGCGUUUGAUCUUAAAUUUGUAUAUGCAGGAUUGCAUCUAGUAUGAUCAGGACGCCGAGGAUAAAGGUCUAAUUACGCCAGGGAAGGUUAGCUAUAAAUCUUUUCCAUAUAUGUAGAUGUUUUUUCAGCAUGCAAUGGAGAUUUUACAAGUUUAAUCAUCGUUCAAUAUGGUUAAUACUUAUAAGGAAUGAGCCUCGCUCCACCCCCACCCCGCCAUUGUUCUUACUGCUGUGGCUGGUUCACUUUUCUCUGUACCCAAAAUAUUUUCUAGAAUUCCGCUAACAAAAUCUAUACAUAAAUUUUCUCUUUUGUUUCUGUUCUUUUGAGGAUAACAAGUUUGACUAUGUAAGGGAGUUUCCACUUACAUGAUCGAGAAUGUGGCGUGGCGGGUUUCAUGUUUCAACGAACUAACUUCCCUUGGUUCUUAAUAUGCAUGAUCAUCGGGAACUGAAGACUGUUCUCAUUGAGGGCACGAGUGGCAACACCGGCAUUGGAUUGGCAUUCAUUGCAGCAAGCAGGGGCUACAAGGUUAAACUAACCAUGCCAUCUUCAAUGAGUAUUGAGAGAAGAAUUGUGAUGCUAGCUUUCGGUGCUGAGGUGUACCUUACAGAUCCUGCCAAGGGCAUUAAGGGAGUCUUUGAUAAAGCUGAGGAGUUAUUGAGUAACACGCCUAACGGUUACAUACUAGGCCAAUUUGAAAAUCCUGCCAAUCCGAAGGUAACUUUUGGAGCAACUGUGACAUGUCUAGAUGGUUGAGAGAGUUUAUGAAUCGUUAUGUGACCAUUGGUGUAGAUUCAUUAUGAAACCACUGGCCCGGAGAUAUGGAGAGACACAGGAGGGAAGGUUGAUGCCCUGGUUUCGGGAAUAGGGACUGGGGGUACAGUUGCCGGUGCAGGGACAUUCCUUAAAGAGCAGAAUCCAGAGAUUAAGGUUGAAUUUUGUAUGUUUGUAUUAUAUAUACGAGUAUUACAUGAGUGCGUGAGGAGAAAAGUUAUUAAUAAGCAUUUUCUUUUGUCUAGGUGUACGGUGUAGAACCAGCUGAAAGCCCAGUCUUGAACGGUGGCCAAGCUGGUGAGUUAGUAUAAUGCUGGCGUUUUCCUCGUCUCUGGCUCUCUGCACUAUUGCUUCUUUGCUCGUGAAAUUCUUUUUCUUGUUGAACAUAUUACAACAGAACACGAAGAAGAUGCUAGGUUUUUCGGGUUAGCUAUUUGUCUUGCAGAAUGGAGCGAAAUAUGAGACAUGUUUCUUCGUCGUUAGAAUGUUAAACAAUUUGCAUAGUAUUACAUUUUAGUUUGAUUUGUUUAAGUGGCCUCUGCGGUUAAGUUUCUGUAGUAUGAAAUUACCGUUCCAUGGUAUUUGAGAUUUCGUCCUCCUAUUGACUGAUGCAUAUAUGGGUUUGUAAUAUCGUUGCUCGUGUCAAAGGGAAGCAUCUGAUCCAAGGAAUUGGUGCUGGUAUCCUACCUGUAGUUCUGGACAUUAGGUUGCUUGAUGAAGUUAUUGAAGUAAGCGUUCAGCUCAUUUUAUUGCAUGUCAGUUCUAUAAGUUCUUGUUUCAUUUUGGUGCCAACAACUCUAAUACAAGCACGAAUUUCUCGUUAAUGACUGCUGAUGUUUAUGUAACAUUUAGGUAACAAGUGAGGAAGCAAUUGACACCGCGAAGCAGCUUGCCCUGAAAGAAGGUCUUCUGGUAUGGUAUCAAUUAGUUAGCAUCACUUUCACUUUUGUAUCAGUGCUAGGAGUUUGUUAGACGAGAAAUUUGAGACUCCUCUUGUUGCACGCAUUCAUCAUUUUUCCAUUUACGGGGCUGAUUGUGAAAUUAACAUUGCAGGUGGGGAUUUCAUCUGGUGCUGCGGCCGCUGCUGCAAUAAAGUUGGCUAAGAGGCCGGAAUAUGCUGGAAAACUCAUUGUUGUAAGUCGAUUUUGCACUGUCCCUUUAGCUUACAUGAUCUAUUCGCUUAAACUUGGCUUGGAAUUGUAAAUUCGUAAUCAAAUGCAAUUCUUUCAAACAGACACUCCAGGAACUUAUUCCAUUUAUUUGUUACUUGUGCAGGCUGUGUUCCCCAGUUUUGGAGAGCGUUAUCUGUCUUCUGCACUUUUUGAUUCCAUUAGGCAUGAGGCGGAAAACUUGAGUAUUUGCUGAAAGUGUUGCUGAAUCGGCCUUUUCUUAGUUUCCUAGCUCCUUGAAAUAACACGAAAACUUUGCUCCAGUUUGAAAUGAAAAUAUUUCUGGGACCUUUUACCAAUGAACUAAUAAACUCUGGUUGAUGGCUUUCUUCUUGAUAGCAUCAGUAGUAGCAAUGUUAAGAAAAUCUGUGUUUGACCAAAAAUGAAUAGAAAGUUAAAGAAAAAGGAGUUCCCAGUAGUAGCAAUGUUAGAUUUUCUUGGUUUUUGUUGUUUGAUUGUCAAUUUCUAUCCUGACAAAAACAGUACCUGACAUAAACAAUAUCCAAUAAAAAUUGAUUAUACAAUUAACGGAUGUGAGUGGAGGAUCUUCACAAAAAGAAUCGAAUGAGGAUCCUCACAAAAAGAAUCGAAUGAGGAUCCUCUUGUUUGAACUGAUAUCCCUUUCCUUAUCUAUUAAAACCCCUCACCUGUCCCACCAAUACAACAACCAAAACAUCUAUUUCCAUAUAUUUUGACUUUUGCAAUAUAUAUUUAUGUAAUCAUUUUAUAUAAAACAACCAAAGCAUCUAUUUCCAUCUAUUUCCGUAUAUUUUGACAUUUUGCAAUAUAUAUUUAUAUAAACAUUAUUGUAUAUUAAUGCAUAUUUUUAUUAACGUGUCCAUGCCGUCUUAUAUCCUAAUAUUUAGAAAAUAGUUGUAUUGUUGUAUUUGUGUCUCUAUCCAUGCUACAUAGUUAGUACCAAAAGGAUUUGGUUGUUUAUAUUUUUCCGGAACUUUUUACCCUUUUAAAUUUCGUCCCCUAGACGAUUUCUGGCUUCGCCACUAAGGGGGUGAUUGAAAAUUUAGGAAUGCACUUAUUUAUUAAAGGCUAAAUAGCUAAAAUGGUCUAUGAGAUUUGCAUAAUCAAUAGAAAUAGUCAUUGAUUCAAAAUCAAUAGAAAUUGUCUCUGAGAUAAUCCAUCAUCCAUGAUUUUGGUCAUUCCAUUAAAAACUCUUUGGGUAAUUUUCAAAGCUUCGUAACUCAAGGGUGAUUGAAAAUUUAGGAAUGUACUUAUUUAUUAAAGGCUAAAUAGUCAAAAUGGUCCAUGAGAUUUGCAUAAUCAAUAGAAAUGGUCACUGAGAUUCAAAAUCAAUAGAAAUGGUCUCUGAGAUUGUCCAUCAUCCAUGAUUUUGGUCAUUCCAUUAAAAACUCUUAGGGCAAUUGUCAAAACUUCGUAACUUAAUCAUUUCACAACCAAAUUCGACCCAUAAUAUAUUAACAUGAAGAUAGGAAAGUGUAAAACAAGAUUAUAUAUAUUUGGAAGCUCAAUGGUUGCUGAAUAUGGCUGGAAAAUAGUCUGAAAUGUGACUGGUCCACUGGAAAACUGAAAAACUCGCUGGAAACUGGGUAAACUUUAAACAUUCAUAACUUCUUCAAUACUCAACGAAAUCGAGUGAUUCAAAAACCAAAAUCAUACUUCUCGACAAGAUGAAGAGUUUUUAAUGGAAUGACCAAAAUCAUGGAUGGUGGACAAUCUCAGAGACUAUUUCUAUUGAUUUUCAAUCUUAGGGACCAUUUCUAUUGAUUUUCAAUCUUAGGGACCAUUUCUAUUAAUUAUGCAAAUCUCAAUGACCAUUUUAGCUAUUUAGCAUUUAUUAAAUAUAGUUUAACAUAGUAGUCGGUUUCUUAUGUAUGCAAUUAGGAUUAAAUAAAUGUGGAAGGGUCUAACUGUAAACUAUAGUGGUUGUUGAUUAUUUGAAACCAAAAGUGUAUUUUAUGGUUUGGAAAUGAAAUUUGAAUUUAUUAUCCGCCAUCUCAGUUCUUAUGUCAAGAGUUUUGACAUCUUUGGGAGAACAUAGUGUUGGUUCAUUUAAUUUUCCCAACACAUAGUUUUAAUGGCAUUUGGUAUAUGCAUUUGCCAAUUAUGUGUAGUUGAUUAAGUUCUUUAAUUUUAGUAUAACCUUGCUAAAUCCUAAUCAUAAAUGCACUUUGGAUGUAAGAGUAAUGAUGUGAUACUUUCUAGGGAAUUUUUAUUUGGACCUAGCUAUCCUCUUUUCACACCAAACUUUAAUAUUUUUGCACCUAAAUUCUCAAUUUUACCCUUAGAAAAAACUAAAAGGGCAAAAAUGAAAAAAAAAAAAAAAAAACCUAACCAACCCCCCCCCGCGACAACAACACUGUUUCCGGCAACUCUCCUCCCAUCGCCGUCGAAUCUGCCAUCAGCGCCAUCGUUUCUCUUCCUCUUUCACUUCUUCCUCUUCCUUCUCUCUUGUUUCUCAAUUUUCGUCUCAGAUUUGAAUCCUAAUGAUUGAAAGGAUCAAAUCUCGCCCUGGUGAUUUUGGCCUUAAGUUCUUCAUCGUGACGAUGGGGGUUGGAACCGCCACUUUAGACCAAACCUUGGCGGUGAUGGAGCUUGCUGCUAAUGAGGUGGAACUAAGCGUCCUUGUUGGCGAACGCCGUGAACGACUAGCCGUCGGAGAAAGUAAGUUAAAGACAUAAUCAAAUGUGUAAGCGCUGGGAUCAAGUCCAACGUAACUUUUGUUAGCGGGAGAAGGCGGCAAAGCUAAAAUUGAGAGGGAGGCAAGUGGUGGUGGUUUGGGUGGUGGUGCAAUGUCAAGUUGGGGAUGGGUUUCAGCCGUUAGGCUGAAAAUGGGUGUAGAAAGAUUAUUUCGUAUAAGGGUAAAAUGCGAAUUAUGAAGAAUAAUUUUUGUUUGGGUUGUGAUAUCCGCACACCCCAUUUUACUUCUCACACACCCUUCUAAUUUUUGACCAUUGGAUCGGAUUAAUUGAAGAAGAUCAACGGACAAAAAUUAACAAGGGGUGUGAGAAGUAAUUUGGGGUGUGUGGAUAGCACACCCCUUUUUGUUAAUGGGUGUAGAAAGACAUAUUCUGGGUCUAAAUAAAACUACUCUACUUUCUAAUAGCCCGUUUACUAAUUCUUAAUUAUAAGAGGAAUUGAACUGAUGAUGAGUUAGAUUGGUGUAGAAUCAGAAUCAAAUUCUGGUUGAAAUUGUUUACUAUUUUUGUGGCCACGAGCAGAGCUGGCGGAAACACAGAAUGAUGAAAACGAAAAACACUCACUCGACGGUGAGAAAGCUCUCACAGGAGGAGAGAAAGCCUCGAGAAUUGGAAGUCUACCCAUCUAAUUUGAUCGUAUCUUUUUUAUUUUUAUUUUUUUAUUUUUUUUACAUUUUAUCAAAGAUACUUCUUCAUAAACAGGCAAAAGGAAUACAAGAUUAGGAGAAAAUUUUCAUUGUGAUGGGAAUAUGAGUGGUACAUCACGUGUUUUUAUGUAAGUGAUGAGAAAUUUUAUUUUUUAAGUUAUUAACUUUUUAAUACACAUAUCCCACAAUUUGUAUAAUGACACAUGGUGUACCACCCUGUGUGCCGAUCACACUAAAAAAUUACUCUAGGUCAGCUGCCAACUGCAGGACCAUAUAAAGAAGAAACUAAAAUACAGAUAGGCAAGAAACUUAAGGCCAGAUAAAGAAGACCACCAACAUAGCUGUGUUGUUGACCUUAAGAACCAAGCAACCACAAAAAUCAGUGUGGGCAGGCGAGGCCAUCCAUGGACAUGAAAUAAACUAGAGCAUAUGGGGGUCAGGAAACCCAAACUUCCAGAAUUAUCCAUCUUUUACAAUGCGAGAAAACACCAAAUUUUCGGACACACGAGAAAAUAUGUCUGCGCGUUGGUGCGGGAACUUGUUGUUUCAAGUGUAAUCGGAUGAAUAAAACACGUUUAAGUUGAAUAAAUUCAACACAAUUAUGAACAAAGUCUUUUUUAUAUACAUUCAAGUGAGCUGGCAUAUAAACACAUUGUACAAUUUGUGGGAAAAACUAAACGUCUUUGAUUAGAAAGAGAUGGUUUCCAAAAAAAAAAAAAGCAUUAGUUCACACAAAAUUUCGGUUACCAAAUCCAAAAAAAACCAAAAACAAAAAUGUGACUCUCUAUAUGGCUUUCUUACUACACAAAAAUAUUCCUUAGUUAAAGCAUGCCACACAUCAUAUGCCACACAUCAUCACAUUGCUAUUAUAUGAAGUAUAUUCCUCAGUGGCAAGCAAUAUACUCUCCUUAGCAUGACCUCUCAAUCCCCUCUCUUUAUCUCCCUAGAAUCGUACAACCCAUAAAGACAGUGCAUAGACAUACGCUCACACACUGAAGAAUGAACGCAUUAUAUUUAGUUGGCACCGUUCAACUUUAAAAGCAGUGAGACCUUCCAAAGGCACAGCCUAACUGGCCUUGGUUCAAAUAACCAAAUUGAGAACAACAAUUGAAUUUUAGAAAAGCUGUACAGAGGGGAAAAAAAAGAAAAAACAAUCCUAUCACAACUGAAAAACAAAAUCAAAAUGAACUGAAUAAAAUUUCAGCAGAGCUUGAACACUAACAUCCUUUGAAAACAUGUGUUGGUUACGUAUAAUAUAUAUGCGCAUAAAUUAAGAAAAUGACUUGAGUGCCCUAGCAGUAGUCUUUACGUUGAACCAAAUCACUAUUAGGUUAAAUGUAUUGAUUCACGCAUCUUCUUUUAUGUGCUAAAUAUCUACUAAAUUGCCCUACGAAAAUGACAUAAAACAACUUUUAAAAGUGACAAUAUAUGCAGCACCAGGAUGUUGCAGAACUCACUGCCCCAAUUUAAGAUUCAGUUUUUGUCCAAUGUAUGUAUAAGCUUAGAUACAUCUGAGAAUUUGCUUUUCAACAGUUGUUACUCUCAUCUUCUUUUGAGAGAGAUAGAUACAAGGGUUAAGAUUACAAUGGGGAAGAGUUAAGAAUCCCUCUAAAAUACUAAAGAAAAACAUACCUAGAAUGGAGUAAACAACUAUUUGUCUCCAUGUCAGUUUCUCAUAGCAUUUAUGCUGUUAGAAAGAUAGUGCUCCACUCCAGAAGGAUGGACAAAUUUACCAGAUGGAGACUGACCCAAAGAAAACAUAAUUAAAAGUUAGCAUCUGACGAACAAUUAAGGUGAUGCAAAAGAGCAACACGUGAUGUGAAAUUAUUAUACCAAAAUAUCUAAGGUCUGUUAAUCCAAUCACCCAAUAAAACAGAACUGAAAUUAAGCACAAUAAUAUCAAAAUUAAAAGGAAGGAAUAAUAUGAAACAUUGUGCAUAGAACGUUCGUGAGAAUGAAUCACACAACAAUCAAGGAUGGACAAAUCACAAAAGUGACAAUUAAAGGGCACCUAACAGACACCCCCAUCUCUCUCUCUCUGCAAUCGCAGAAAUCCCUCGGGUUUCAGGAAGAAAUGGAAAACGAAAUGCUUUUCCAUCCCCUACCUAUACCCAUACCUCCCUUACCCGUUCCCUUUACCCUCACAGAAAAUCCUCCCAUCUCUCUUUCUCACCCUUGUCCCAUCUGUCUGUCUGCAAAUUGCAAAAAAGAAACCCUAAACAAAUCCCUGAAAUCCCUCACCUAAAUCCCCUCACAUUUCUUUCAGAACACCCCCCUCUCUUUCUCUCUGCAAAACCUAAACCAGAUCUCCUAGAUCCUAUCUCAAACACCCGACAUACAACCAAGAAGCCAAGAUAUUAAAGCAAUCUCUACAUAAUACUUUGGAACAAUGAAGCAAAAUGGUUCUUGUUUCUUGUCCAAAACCGUUGGUGCUGCCGCACAUUGUUAUCAGUUAAGGGUUUAUCAAAACCCACCCAAAAAUUACCUUCAUAAAAAAUGCCACCACAAACCUAUUAAGCCCAGUCAAUCAAGAACCUACUUGAUUAAUUUCAACUCAGCAGAUAGUCUAGGUUUUUUGUUUUUUAUGCAGUAAUUAUAGAGCAAAUGGAUAAAAUUAUUGACUAUUUAUACACUAUUGUUGUUUCAUAAGCUUCUCAUUUUCUUAGUAUCAAGCUCUCUUUGUGGGCAAAAAUUAUAAUAAUAAUAAUAACAAUACUAAUUCAAUAAGUAAUGGAGAUUACCAAGGAAAUGAGUUUUAGGUUCUGAAUGGUUUACCGAUUCCCAUCCAUUUGGUGUGAAGACUUUCUUUGUUUUAUGUUAGUUGACGCACAAACUCUCACAAAUGGUGUUUCAACAACCGACCUUGCUCCUAACAAACUGCAAGAACAGAAAUUGCAUUAUAUGAAAAUAGUUGAAAAUUAUUCUUUUAAUCGUAAAUCAUAAAGUUCGAAACUUUCAAUCAAAAUAAUUCAGAACCUCAAACUGAGAACAAAACUUCUACAUUGAUAAUAACAACCCCGAACAAUGAACGAAACAUUGAACCGAAAUCAAAUCAUGUGAUACCUUUUCAGGUGAUGCCCCUUAUCAGAUCAGAUUAUGUACCCAAGAAUGGACUGAAAACAAAGCACUCAUCAGUGUAGUACAUUACACAAAAUUCCAUUUAAUUCUUCACCAAAAAAAAAAACAACACAUUUAAAUAACAAAAUAUAAAAAAAUCCAAGAAAGUAAGUUCAUAACCAACAACCAAUCAUCAAGAACAAACCCCAUCAAGCCCAAACCCAAAUACAAACGCCACUAACAUAAUCACCCAAAAUUCACUACAGUAAACACAAAACCCACCAAAAAAUUACCUUCAUAAAAAAUGCCACCAAAAACCUAUUAAGCCCAGUCAAUAAAGAACCUAUUUGACGAAUUUCAACUUAGCAAAUAGUUAGAUUAUUGCCCAUUAAACAGGUAGAUCAAAGUAAGAGUAUAUCCAGUUAAUAUUACAGUACAAAUUUUGCAUCCCAAGGAAAAAUACCAAAUUCAACCUCAACCAAUAAAAUAGCAUUAAGGAAUGUGAAUUUUCAACUAUUUUGACCAAAUAAACAACUUUCCAUUCUAAUUUCAUCAAUUUCUCGGUAAAUUAAAAAGGCAAAAACAUAUAAUUAGAAGCCAAUUCAACAAUUAACAAAAAAGUUACAAAAAUUAACUCAAAUUCGGUAGCACAGCCUGCUAUAAAGUAGAGGAAGUGUAUGAGUAAUGGAUGUCCAGGGUUGGUCCUUAUGCAGAAGGAAGCAUAGGAAGCAUAAAUGGGAUAUCAAGUGAGGAUCUCAAGUAAAUUUGCAACAACACAAAACCCAACCAGCAACAAUUUGUUCAUUACAUCUUAAAACACAAAAUUUUGUCCGAAAAAUAAGACAUUUAAUGCAGAAAGCUCAAAACUUUGCCUCUCAAAACUAACAUCUGAGAGAGCAUUGCACUUCUUAUCUUUAAAAGCAUGAAUGGUGAACUAAACAAAAGAAUUAAGAAUCUACAAUGAACUAAAUAAAAACACACUUUUUACAAACAUAUUCGCACAAAAAUUAAAACUGUAUUGAGAAACUCACCAUUUUGACAAAAAAAAAAUUAUACCAGUAACUGAACACAAUAAUAAAUGAUUUUAGGAUACUUGUUCACUAAUAUAAAUUUGCAAGUUUAAGAGACAAUGACAACCUGAAUCCUUAAAAAGGUUAUUUACACCUAAAAUGAAACAGACAUAUCCAAAGGACAUAACAUAGUGAUCUUUUGUGAGUUUAAUAUCCGGACUGGAGUUUUUAAUUUUAUGUGGUGUUUGCUGUUCUGAUCUGCCCUUUGUAGGGGUUGUGGUUGGGUUGUUCCAGGGAGGUAUGUUAGACUGUUUACUGGCCCGGAACAGAUGUUAAAAUGAUGGUGCCUUCCUUAAGAAGAGAUAAGACCAUAUCGCAUGACAACUUUUAAAAUAUACGGGUUCAUAUAACAUAGAAAAAUGAACAAAUAAAUGCACACCCAAACUACAUGUGCCAGUCAAAUUAAAGGAUGACUUCUUGCUGAGAACAAAAGUAUAAAAAAAAUGAAUACUUUACCUGCAUAUAUCGCACGACAGUGCUAGUAUAAUCAACUGCUUUCCUCUGUGUAAGCUUUCUCAUCUUUUAUCCAAGAAAAGUGUCAGCAUGAGCUGCAACAAACAAACAAUUUGUCACUCAUUAUAAAAAAAAAGGGAAACUAUAUUAAAUUCUGCACUAAACCUCUCAAAAAAAUUAAACCACUAUUUUCAAAUAUCAUUUACACCCUUGGCCUCACUGCCCUACCCUUUUAAAUUGCAAAUCUCAAUAACUUCAAGAUCUAAAACCAAUUCUAAAGGUUUAAUGCGCUUUAAAGUUGAAAAUCCCAGUCAACAAAAGAAGUAUAAUGCAACCAAAUUCUUGUUUAGGUACUUCCCCACAAUUCAAUUGUUUUCUUUUAUUCUCCAUUAAUUUCCAACCGAAACCGAAAAGAACCAGAACAAAAUAGCAAAGACAAAGGCAUAAUUUGGUACAAACCAUCAUAAGGAGGAAGAGGAUGAGCAAGCACAGGUGGGUUGUGAUACUUCGGGGGGCAUACCGACGGCUGAUGCAUCAUUGGGGCCGGUGGUGCCCAGGGGGGGAUAUGAAAUUCUCCGCCCUGCUGUUGACGCUACUGGUGUUGCAAAUGUUGCUGCUGAUGUUGAGGGUGUUGCCGCUGAUGUUGAGGGUGUUGCUGCUGAUGUUGCGGGUGCUGUUGUUUGUGGUGUUGUGGAUCAGGGUACAUCAUUGUCACCCCAAAUCAAAGUACUAUGAGGAAGAGAGAAAGAAAGAAAAAAAAAAAACCAAAACCCUAGGAUUAGAGAACUGAGAAGUGGAAAGUUGCACCAAUUUAAACGCCUUCUGCCAAGCUAAAAAUUGAAUUCAAUUUGCAAAAGUAGUCACACUGGCUAUGAAUUCAAGUCAAAGAGGGCCUAAAGAGUGAAAUUUAGAGUUUCAACACAACAUGGCCUUCUCAUAGAUAUGGUUUCUUUUCAUGAUUUGAGAGAAAAACCCAUCAAUCGAUUGACAGACUUGAACAAUUAGAAAGUAGUAAAGCAUGUAAAAAGCAUAAGAUUUAAAGCUGUUAUGGAUCCAUAUUUCACUAAAGACCACACACGCAGAAACAACCCCCCCUUUUUUCCUUGAAAUCCUACGCCCACCCCUGUGACUGUGCAAACCAUGCAAACCUCUUUGUGACACCGACAUCACCUCUCCCCCCUUCAAUUAAAUGCAUGAACAUCAUACAGUGAAUUACACAUAAAGUACAACAUUAUCAAGUAUACCUCAAGGCGACAUUGGAUACAAUCAUUUUCAAGUCUUCAUCUCUGACACCAAGAGCACUCAUUCGUUAUACAUUUCUUUAUUAACUGAUCAGCUAACUGAAUUUAAAAUUAGCUUCCAAACCAAAAAAGUUCUGAACUUUUAAUUCUACAAUCAUAUUGAGUUCUUCAUCUCUUACUCUAAAUCCCAAUUACAGAAAGACCUAAACUUUACUCAAUUUAAUAUUGCUUUCCCCCAAAACAGCACAAUCCCACAAAAAUAAGGUUAAAAUAAAAACAACAAUAAAUCAUGAAUUAAAUUAAAUUUCUCACCUCCACCUCUAGUAGAGCUUUCACAUUCUUAACCUAUCACCAAAAAAAAAAAAAAAAAUCAAAUUCAAGUAAAAAAAAUAAAGGAGAACUUGAACUUCCAAAUUAAUUGAAAGAACUAUAAAAUCAAUUGGGGGUUUCUACUGAAGUGAAAAGUAAGGGUUUUACAAUCUCAUAAGGAUCGAUGUCUAAGGAGAGGAUCUGUUCAUCUCCGUUCAUCACUAUGAUCUUAUCUUCUUCAAUUCGUCGCUGCGAUUGGAUCUCCAAUCACACACACACACACACACACACAAAAUAUACCCAAUAACCCAAAAGCUAGAAACUAAAACCUAAUCACCCAAAAUCCCCAAUCCUCAACCAAAAACAUAAUCAGUCACAUAUACUACAUACUGAAUCAAAUGCGGAAACUCAAAUCAAACGCCUUCAAUUGCCUAAAGUUUCAAAAUUCAAUCAUUUUGUCGAGCCUAAAUUUGAAAAAUUACAAUCCCCUCUUGACUAACUCCAUCCAAAGAUUCGAAAUACCAGAAAGCAAAUAAUUGUACUAAAAAUUAAGUAAAUUAAGUAUAAAUUAAAAUCAACUUAACAAAAAAACAACAAAGCUACCAAUCACAAUAGGAAUUCUGCAACUACACACUAUUUACAGUGCUAUGCAAAACUCAUAUUUGAAUGAGGGCCUUUACUAUUGAAUUGAAAGAUGGCUGUUCUUUUUUUAAAUUAGGAUGAUCUCACCAAUCAAAAUUACAGCGCUGUGCAAAACUAAUAUUCAUAAUCUAUACCAGCUCUAGCUUGCCUCCACCCGUAACAGCUCUGGUAUGAGAAAUACAGCGCAAUUAGGAUAGAGGAAACCCAAAUAAUGGAAAUUCAAGAAAUUCAACAUACCAUAAGAUUCUUUCUGACGGCCAAAUUCAUCGACAACGGAGGCAAUUGUUGACCGUCACUGUACCUCCAAUUCGCGCCUGCCAUGUUUGAGGCUUUCAACCGUCACUACUUGGUUUGUGGGCUUCACAUCAAAAGAUAAAGGGCCUUAUCAAAACAGAUCCCACUAACCUCCCUAUUUAAAAACAGAACGUGAUUUAGGUGAUUAAAACUCAUUUGAACAAUCAGCAAAACUUGAGUGAAAACAAUUAACUAAUUAACCACUUGCACCCUGCUCACAAUGAAAAGCAAUUUCAAAUCAACAACCAUAUGAAUCCAGAUUCAUUAACAGGGAUGCUUGGCUGAUAAGAAUCCAGGGCACAGAUGAAACCUUGCUAAACUUGGCAUUUCGUCAUUCAAACAAUUGAAUGAAAGAACAAAAUUAUGUCCAAUCAUUCACAAACAACCACUUUUGCCAUAAUUUUGUUCUUUCAUUCAAUUGUUUGAAUGACCACAUGCCAAGUUUGGCACGGUUUCAUCUGUGCCCUAGAUUCUUGUAAAACACGAAGUUUAAAGAAACAUGAAGCUUUAAAGUAACAGAGGCAUAAAUGAAAAACCUUGGAAUAAACUUAACUUAAAUGUAAAAUGGCAAUUGGGUUAACAAAUCUUGGAAUAAAACUAAAUCACAAAAUGAAAAGCACCUCCAAUAAAUUGACAUUUUAUACUUUUGGCUGGCCAAAAAAUAUCUAUCUUUGCUGGAAUAUGCAAAUAAAAAUGCAAAUUGACAAAAACAUUGAAAUUGAAAUGCAUAGAAGCAAAGCAAAUUACAAAACCUUAAACCAAAUGACAGCUUGGAAAUGGAAGCAAAUGUGUGAACUGUUUUUAAUCAUUUAGGUUUAAAUGAUUGGCAAAAGAAAGAGCCAUUCUUUGAAUCAACAUGAUAAAAAACAGAACAUGAUUUAGGUGUUCAAAUAACCAAAACUGAGAAAAACAAAUUACGAAAAAAAUUGAGAAAAACAAUUAAAUUUAAAUGCACAGAACAAAACAAAUUGAGAAAAACACUUAAAUUGAGAAAACUCUUAAAUUUCUUUAUGCACAGAAGUAAAGCCAAGCAUAAAACGUCAAACCAAAUCACAGCCUGUAAAUGUCAGAGCUUCAAAGCAUAGAUAUACUCUAAAUCAAAUAUAAUUAAAGCUAAUCAAACGAAAUUAAAGCUUAUUAAAACAAAUAAGAACUUGGAAAUAGAAAAGCAGCAUAAUAAAAAAAACGAAAAAGCAAAGAUUGAAGAUGGAAAAGGAACCUGCAAUUAGGUUCUCGAGACGCAAAGAGACCAAGAGAACGAAAAAAUACAAUGCAAGAAACCCUAAUUUAUUAGAAAAAAUCAUGAACAGUUAAAACCUAGGUUUAUUCAAACAGUAAUCUAGGAAUUGAAAGAAGGCUUACAUUUUGAAUCGAAGGGAAACCAGCAACAAAAGGCUUCAAUCACUACCUUUGUAUGUUCGAUUGAUCAGUAAAAUACACAGAAUAAGAGUUACAUCACAUAGCAAUAAAUUAGAGAGAAUUCGAAGACAAAAGGAGAUUGAAAUGUGUAAACCUCACAAACAUCACAAACCCUAGAAUUCUUGCCGACCAAAAUCACAAUUUCGAAUCUGAAGCUGCAUGAUAUGAAUAGAGUUUGUAAACCUAAUCCUAAAGCACAAAAGAUUUGAAACAACCCUAGGUAGAGCUUUCGAAACCAACCCCCUUUCUCUCCCUCGAAUCGUACACCCCCUGUGACUCUGUCUGCCUGCAAGCCACAUGCCUUCCUCUCACCAAAUCUCUAUCUCUCUCCCUCCCUGUCUCUCUUCUCUCUCUGCUCGCUCGCUUUCUCUCUCCCGACGGCAUGCUGUCCCCGAGUCCCACUGCAGCUCAUCAGAAAGAAAGGAAAUGAAAGUCUCUAACCCACCCAUCCCGUUCGAAACCCUACAGACUAAAAUGACCAUCGCACCCCUGCCUUUCCAUGAUUAUAACACGCAGCAUGAAGAUCAGCAGCAGAGAGAGCCAGUGGCAUCCUCGUAAAUAAAGUGAAAUUGGGGUCCAAAAACAAUGAACAGUAAAGAACAGUGCCAAUUGGAAUGCUUUCUUUAGACUAAAGUAAUUCCUCUUUUAUAAUUUGAUCUUAUCUAAUUCGACCAUAUCUUCUUUGUCAGUAGUGUAUUUAAACUCUGCAAUGUGAAAGCAUUAGUGUUUUUCUCAGCACGUUAUCCCCUGGACCACACUCUAAUUUGGGCUUAUCAUAUAAGUUUUUUCUUAUCCUAGUAAACAUGACAAGUUUCUGUCCCCUCAAGCUGCCCUGGUAACUUUUUUUUCUUCCACUUUCUUCUUUUCCCUCCGCCCUUUGUUCAAAUUUCCCAUUGUUUUACACUCUUGGGUCAACAAUUGGAUGUUAGCUUGAAUUAUUAUCCAACGAAUAAGAGACUUGAAGUUUAAUUGAUUAACACGCAUGACACAACGCUUCCUCUUAAGUUGAUCUGGUGAUUUUUUCCUUUUACUUCUUCUGCUUCCCUCCAUUUUUCGCUCUUGUUUCUCGUUAGAGACCACUUAAAAAAUACUGAACAAACAAGAGACUUGUAGCUGAAACAGUUAACAAUAAUUAAUUAUGCACUUGAAGUCCAACGUUCGAUUUUCGCUAAAUGAAAAUUCUUUGUCACUUUCAAGAUUCAAAUAUACCUACAGAGGAAGAAAUGUUCCUUAAACGAAACAGAACAAGGACAACGGGACAACCUUCGUGAAACUUAACCAACAAACGAAUAAAUAAAUAAGUAAAUAAAUAAGGAGUAUGAUUAUUUCCCCUCUUUUUUUCAUCUCCUUCUUCUCACAUUAUCUAUUUUGUCUUUCUCUUUUUAUAAAAAAAUAAUAUAAGAUGUUGACGUGGCUUAAUUGUGACCGUUCAAAUAGGAGGAGAGGGAAGGAGAAGGAACAAAAAAGGAGAGAGAAUCAUACUUCAAUAAAUAAACGCAGAAGUGCCUUUAUGGAAGUGCAAGGAGACAUUUUCCAAAAAAUUCCAAUACAAUUUUCUUUCUUUCUUCUAUAUCUCGGCCUGCAAAAGAUAAGGUUGGUAUUUAUUUCGAGUUUCACAUGAUUUAUUAAUAUUUAAUGACAUAAUUGAAUUGUUCGUUGCUUAUUAGCAUUUGGGUGCAAAAUAUAUUGCUUGAAAUCUUGAAAAUCUGCUGCUCAAUAUGUUAGUGUGUAAAUUAUGAUCUGAUGUGGCAGUUGCAAUUCCAGCUCAUAUUGCUAGGAUGUUUAGCUAAAUUGGUUGUAUGCUUAUUUAUUUAAGUCUCAUAGGUCUUAAGUAAGUAGACAUGUGUUUUCAUCUCAUAGGGUGUAAGAUGGAAGGCUGAGAUUGUUUUGAUGUAAUUUGAAUACUACCAAAAGAGUGCAACGAUUAGAAGUGAGUGGAAUUCCCUUCAUCUCUCAGAUAAAUGAAAUGGUGAAUGUGUGAAGAAUAUUCAGAGUCAUAUUCAUUUAAAAAUAGCUCAAAACCCAUGAUAUCUCAUGGUUUUCAUUUAUCAGAAAAUAAGAAUAUUUUAAACACAUUACAUAAAUAAUUCACCUCAAUAAUUCAAGCUUUGGCAAGGCAACUCAACUAACAUCUCCACAAACCUCAAACCCUAGCUCGCUAUCUCUCUCUAUACCUAUAUAAUAUAUAUACACACACACGUACAUACAUAUAUAUACAUAGAUAUAUACUAAUGUACAUCACCCCUACGUAAUGCAUGCAUUGCAUGCUUCUGUGGUUUCAAAAGAAUGGAGCCCUUGCUCCUGUUUAUUGGGGAUUGGAGUCGGUUAUAAUUAACGUUAAAUGCAUGACUAAGCCUUUCAAUGAAGUGGUGGCAAUAGAAUGUAAGAAAUCAUCUAGGAUAUUGACAGCUACAGCCUACAUGCAAGACGUGUUCUACUUAAGUUGGAGGUGUCAUGAACACGGGUUGCCAAGUAUAAGAGUCAUCAAAUUGUAGGUGCAGGUGUCAAAUGCAGGGAUUAAGCAUGCAACACGUAUAAGCUAGUAGCUGCAUACGAUCAUCACAAUAGAGUGCACAAUAAGCACUCGUAAUGAUUGCUGAAGUGAUGAGAAGGAUGAAAUGGAGGUGGUGCUGUCAGUUUGCAUGAAGUGAGAAGAGCAGGUGUUGCAUUCGUAGGAAUGCUUGAGGUAGAUUGACAGGUGGUAUAGUAAAAAUAGGAAUUGGAUCCCCUCCGAGGCAAACCCUCGGGAUCUUCUUGGAGUGAAAUCAGUUCACAUUUUAAAAGGGGCAGUUAGUGUGUAAAUUGUGAUCUGAUGUGGCAGUUGCAUUUCCAGCUUAUAUUGCUAGGAUGUUUAGCUAAAUUAAUUGGUUGUAUGCUUAUUUGUUUAAGUCUCAUAGGUCUUACGUACGUAAGUUGAUAUGUGUCUUCUUCUCAUAGGGUGUAAGAUGGAAGGCUGGGAGUGUUUUGAUGUAAUUUGAAUACUGCAAAAGAGUGCAACGGUUAGAAGUGAGCGGAAUUCCCUUCCUCUCUCAGACAAAUGAAAUGGUUCUCUGUUCUCUCUCUCCCUCUACUAUCAUCUCUUCCAUUUUCGUACUGUAAUUUCUUCUAUUCUCUGAGGAAAUCUGUGUAGUCAUGGCUCACAGUUGCAUAGCUUACUCGAACACUAACAAAAUAUUGGACAAAUUCCAGAAUUAUUAUUCUGUUCUUUUUGCUCUGUUUAUGGUAGUUAACUGAUUUUUUUUUCAUAAUUUUUAUUGGUUCUUCAAAAUUUAGGUUGGGAACUUUUGGUGUUCUUUUGUGUAAACAUUCUUGUUAAAUACUUGAUAUUUUUGUUUGUUCUCUAUUUAUUUUCUGCAUAUUUUGGGGUCUUCUGGUUUUGAUUCUGUUGACUAUUUCAAGUGAUUUUCUAAGAGGAUGAAAAGAUUAAGCGUUUUCGGGUUUUCUGGUUGCUUUUGUUUUGUUGAACGUUUGAAUCUGUUUUCCCUUCUUUCACAGCUUGCUGCAACACAAGAUAAAUAUGGAAGUCAAAUUUGCAAUCAAGAACGAUGUCACCGAAGUAAGAUUUUUCCUCACGAAAGUCAAGCAUUCUAUUUUGACUUUGAUUUGUUUUUAGUUUUCCUUUGUUUGUAGGGAACUUUAACGAAAAGCUUCCGGUACUAUUCACUUUAACAAAAAAUCAUAUUUUUACACUAAAAAUUCUACCUGGUACUAUUCACUUUACCCUUUAUUUUGUCAUUUUCAUUAAAAUUCAAAGUUUUCAAACUCUUUUCAUUAUUUUUCUUUGUUUUGAUAUGUUGAUUUGGCUUACGAUGCGCUCUCGUUGUACUCUUGGUUCUUGCAGCUGAUUGGAAACACCCCGUUGGUAUAUCUCAACAAUGUCGUGGAUGGUUGCGUAGCACGAAUUGCUGCCAAGCUAGAGUCAAUGGAGCCCUGCUCAAGUGUAAAAGACAGGCAUAUUCUUUGCAAUUUUUUCCUUGGGAAUAUUAAUUUUCGUUUUCUCCUAGAACGACAGCAAAUAAAAACUCAACAUUGAUAUACACGUUUGAUCUUAAAUUUGUAUAUGCAGGAUUGCAUAUAGUAUGAUCAAGGACGCCGAGGAUAAAGGUCUAAUUACGCCAGGGAAGGUUAGCUAUAAAUCUUUAGGAAAACUAAUGAAAAGGGUAUCUGUAGAUGUUUUUUCAGCAUGUAAUGGAGAUUUUACAAGUUUAAUCAUCGUUCAAUAUAGUUAAUACUUAUAAGGAAUGAGCCUCGCUCCACCCCCACCCCGCCAUUGUUCUUAUUGCUGUGGCUGGAUCACUUUUCUCUGUAUCCAAAAUAUUUUCAAGUAGAAUUCCGCUAACAAAAUCUAUACAUAAAUUUUCUCUUUUGUUUCUGUUCUUUUGUGGAUAACAAGCUUGACUAUGUAAGGGAGUUUCCACUUACAUGAUCGAGAAUGUGGCGUGGCGUGGCGUGUUUCAUGUUUCAACGAACUAACUUCCCUUGGUUCUUAACAUGCAUGAUCUUCGGGAACUGAAGACUGUUCUCAUUGAGGCCACGGGUGGCAACACCGGCAUUGGAUUGGCAUUCAUUGCAGCAAGCAGGGGCUACAAGGUUAAGGUAACCAUGCCAUCUUCAAUGAGUAUUGAGAGAAGAAUUGUGCUCCUAGCUUUCGGGGCUGAGGUGUACCUCACAGAUCCUGCCAAGGGUACUAAGGGAGUCUUUGAUAAAGCCGAGGAAUUAUUGAGUGACACGCCUAAUGGUUAUAUACUUGGCCAAUUUGAAAAUCCUGCCAAUCCGAAGGUAACUUUUGGAGUGACUGUGACAUGUCUAGAUGGUUGAGAGAGUUUAUGAAUCGAUAUGUGACCGUUGGUGUAGAUUCAUUAUGAAACCACUGGCCCGGAGAUAUGGAGAGACACAGGAGGGAAGGUUGAUGCCCUGGUUUCGGGAAUAGGUACUGGGGGUACAGUUGCCGGUGCAGGGACAUUCCUUAAAGAGCAGAAUCCAGAGAUUAAGGUUGAAUUUUGUUUGUAUUAUAUAUACGGAUAUCACACGAGUACGUGAGGAGAAAAGUUAGUAAUAAGCAUUUUCUUUUGUCUAGGUGUACGGUGUAGAACCAGCCGAAAGCCCAGUCUUGAACGGUGGCCAAGCUGGUGAGUUACUAUGAUGCUGGUGUUUUCCUCGUCUCCGGCUCUCUGCACUAUUGCUUUCUUUGCUCGUGAAUAUUUUUUCUUGUAGAACAUAUUACAACAGAACGUGAAGAGGAUGCUAGGUUUUUCGGGUUAGCUUUUUGUCUUGCAGAAUAGAGCAAAACAUGAGUAAUGUUUCUUCGUCGUUAGAAUGUUAAACAAUUUGCAAAGUAUUGCAUUAUAGUUUGAUUCGUUUAAGUGGCCCAUCUGUGGUUCAGUUUCUGUAGUAUGAAAUUACCGUUCCAUAGUAUUUGAGAUUUUGUCCUCCUAUAUUGACUGAUGUGUAUGUGGAUUUGUAAUAUGUCUCGCUCGUGUCAAAGGGAAGCAUCUGAUCCAAGGAAUUGGUGCUGCACUAUUGCUUCUUUGCUCGUGAAAUUCUUUUUCUUGUUGAACAUAUUACAACCGAACAUGAAGAAGAUGCUAGGUUUUUCGGGUUAGCUAUUUGUCUUGCAGAAUGGAGCGAAAUAUGAGACAUGUUUCUUCGUCGUUAGAAUGUUAAACAAUUUGCAUAGUAUUACAUUUUAGUUUGAUUUGUUUAAGUGGCCUCUGCGGUUAAGUUUCUGUAGUAUGAAAUUACCGUUCCAUAGUAUUUGAGAUUUCGUCCUCCUAUUGACUGAUGCAUAUAUGGGUUUGUAAUAUCGUUGCUCGUGUCAAAGGGAAGCAUCUGAUCCAAGGAAUUGGUGCUGGUAUCCUACCUGUAGUUCUGGACAUUAGCUUGCUUGACGAAGUUAUUGAAGUAAGAGUUCAGCUCAUUUUAUUGCAUUUCAGUUCUAUAAGUUCUUGUUUCAUUUUGGUGCCAACAACUCUAAUACAAGCACGAAUUUCUCGUUAACGACUGCUGAUGUUUAUGUAACAUUUAGGUAACAAGUGAGGAAGCAAUUGAUACCGCGAAGCAGCUUGCCCUGAAAGAAGGUCUUCUGGUAUGGUAUCAAUUAGUUGACAUCGCUUUCACUUUUGUGUCGGUGCUAGGAGUUUGUUACUCUCCAUUAGUUUGUUAGACGAGAAAUUUGAGACUCCUCUUGUUGCACGCAUUCAUCAUUUUUCCAUUUACGGGUCUGAUUGUGAGAGCAAAUUAACAUUGCAGGUGGGGAUUUCAUCUGGUGCCGCGGCCGCUGCUGCAAUAAAGUUGGCUAAGAGGCCGGAAAAUGCAGGAAAACUCAUUGUUGUAAGUCUGAUUUUGCACUGACCCUUUAGCUUAUACUAUUUCUUCGCUUAAACUUGACUUGGAAUUGUAAAUUCGUAAUCAAAUGCAAUUCUUUCAAACAGACACUCCAUUGAUUUCUUCGCUUAAACUUGACCAGGAACUUAUUCCAUUGAUUUGUUACUUGUGAAGGCUGUGUUCCCCAGUUUUGGAGAGCGUUAUCUGUCUUCUGCACUCUUUGAUUCCGUUAGGCAUGAGGCGGAAAACUUGAGAAUUUACUGAAAGUGUUGCUGAAUCGGCCUUUUCUUACUUUCCCAGCUCCUUGAAAUAACGCGAAAACUUUGCUCCAGUUUGAAAUGAAAAUGUUUCUGGGACCUUAUAUAAGAUUAUUACGACCUUUUACCUUACCGAUGAACUAAUAAACUCUGGUUGAUGGCUAUCUUCUUGAUAGCAUCAGUAGAGCAUCCAUGUACCAUAUGAUUCAAGGGGAAUGAGCUAUAUGGUAGCUUACGAGCGAAACC
This 24980-nucleotide long non-coding RNA is filed under the name Malus domestica (apple). Its description in RNAcentral is "long non-coding RNA (MDOM_LNC004135)". Lineage: Eukaryota; Viridiplantae; Streptophyta; Magnoliopsida; Rosales; Rosaceae. The record is from RNAcentral.